AAAGAACAAGCAAAUAGAAGAAAUAAAUCUAAAACUGUUUUCAUUUGUUAUCUCAUAGCCACAGGAUUAUAAUUUCAACUUUAUUCUUUAUACCGCACUUUGUUUUUUCUGUAAUGAGUGCUUCUUGUAUAUUUUUAAAAAGGUAAUAAAUUUAAUGAACAUUCAACACCUUCCGUAAAGU
Leopardus geoffroyi (Geoffroy's cat) is the source of this 181-nucleotide long non-coding RNA. RefSeq lists it as uncharacterized. NCBI's taxonomy places the organism in Eukaryota, Metazoa, Chordata, Mammalia, Carnivora, Felidae. The record is from RefSeq and is a predicted model, not a curated record. The transcript is spliced from 2 exons.